UACGAAGGGGGCUAGCGUUGUUCGGAAUCACUGGGCGUAAAGCGCACGUAGGCGGAUUGUUAAGUCGGGGGUGAAAUCCUGAGGCUCAACCUCAGAACUGCCUUCGAUACUGGCAAUCUCGAGUCCGGAAGAGGUUGGUGGAACAGCUAGUGUAGAGGUGAAAUUCGUAGAUAUCGGGAGGAACACCGGUGGCGAAGGCGGCGACCUGGGACAAUACUGACGCUGAGGUGCGAAAGCGUGGGGAGCAAACAGG
RNAcentral lists this ribosomal RNA (253 nucleotides) under uncultured bacterium. RNAcentral's name for it is "partial 16S ribosomal RNA". It matches the Rfam family "Bacterial small subunit ribosomal RNA", at positions 524 to 776 of the family's 1533-position model. The record is from RNAcentral.